UUAGUGGAAGCGUCUGGAAAGGCGCGCGAUACAGGGUGACAGCCCCGUACACAAAAGCGCAUGUGCUGUGAGCUCGAUGAGUAGGGCGGGACACGUGGUAUCCUGUCUGAAUAUGGGGGGACCAUCCUCCAAGGCUAAAUACUCCUGACUGACCGAUAGUGAACCAGUACCGUGAGGGAAAGGCGAAAAGAACCCCGGCGAGGGGAGUGAAAAAGAACCUGAAACCGUGUACGUACAAGCAGUGGGAGCACAGGUUUACCUGUGUGACUGCGUACCUUUUGUAUAAUGGGUCAGCGACUUAUAUUCUGUAGCAAGGUUAACCGMAUAGGGGAGCCGSAGGGAAACCGAGUCUUAAUUGGGCGUUAAGUUGCAGGGUAUAGACCCGAAACCCGGUGAUCUAGCCAUGGGCAGGUUGAAGGUUGGGUAACACUAACUGGAGGACCGAACCGACUAAUGUUGAAAAAUUAGCGGAUGACCUGUGGCUGGGGGUGAAAGGCCAAUCAAACCGGGAGAUAGCUGGUUCUCCCCGAAAGCUAUUUAGGUAGCGCCUCGUGAAUUCAUCUCCGGGGGUAGAGCACUGUUUCGGCUAGGGGGCCAUCCCGGCUU
RNAcentral lists this ribosomal RNA (606 nucleotides) under Salmonella enterica. RNAcentral describes it as "partial 23S ribosomal RNA". Lineage: Bacteria; Pseudomonadati; Pseudomonadota; Gammaproteobacteria; Enterobacterales; Enterobacteriaceae. The record is from RNAcentral.